RNAcentral lists this ribosomal RNA (496 nucleotides) under uncultured bacterium. Its description in RNAcentral is "partial 16S ribosomal RNA". It matches the Rfam family "Bacterial small subunit ribosomal RNA", at positions 28 to 506 of the family's 1533-position model. The record is from RNAcentral.
GAUGAACGCUGGCGGCGUGCCUAAUACAUGCAAGUCGAGCGAACGGACGAGAAGCUUGCUUCUCUGAUGUUAGCGGCGGACGGGUGAGUAACACGUGGAUAACCUACCUAUAAGACUGGGAUAACUUCGGGAAACCGGAGCUAAUACCGGAUAAUAUUUUGAACCGCAUGGUUCAAAAGUGAAAGACGGUCUUGCUGUCACUUAUAGAUGGAUCCGCGCUGCAUUAGCUAGUUGGUAAGGUAACGGCUUACCAAGGCAACGAUGCAUAGCCGACCUGAGAGGGGGUUCGGCCACACUGGACCUGAGACACGGUCCAGACCCCUACGGGAGGCAGCAGUAGGGAAUCUUCCGCAAUGGGCGAAAGCCUGACGGAGCAACGCCGCGUGAGUGAUGAAGGUCUUCGGAUCGUAAAACUCUGUUAUUAGGGAAGAACAUAUGUGUAAGUAACUGUGCACAUCUUGACGGUACCUAAUCAGAAAGCCACGGCUAACUACGU